RNAcentral lists this unclassified non-coding RNA (316 nucleotides) under plant metagenome. RNAcentral's name for it is "partial contains 5.8S ribosomal RNA, internal transcribed spacer 2, and large subunit ribosomal RNA". The stretch from base 1 to 105 matches the Rfam family "5.8S ribosomal RNA", at positions 50 to 154 of the family's 154-position model. The record is from RNAcentral.
GAAAUGCGAUAACUAGUGUGAAUUGCAGAAUUCCGUGAAUCAUCGAGUCUUUGAACGCACAUUGCGCCCCCUGGUAUUCCGGGGGGCAUGCCUGUCCGAGCGUCAUUGCUGCCCAUCAAGCACGGCUUGAGUGUUGGGUCGUCGUCCCCUCUCCGGGGGGGACGGGCCCCAAAGGCAGCGGCGGCACCGCGUCCGAUCCUCGAGCGUAUGGGGCUUUGUCACCCGCUCUGUAGGCCCGGCCGGCGCUUGCCGAACGCAAAUCAAUCUUUUUCCAGGUUGACCUCGGAUCAGGUAGGGAUACCCGCUGAACUUAAGC